Molecule: ribosomal RNA, 639 nt
Filed under: Lophiostoma macrostomum
Lineage: Eukaryota; Fungi; Ascomycota; Dothideomycetes; Pleosporales; Lophiostomataceae
Description: partial large subunit ribosomal RNA
Rfam family: Eukaryotic large subunit ribosomal RNA
Source: RNAcentral
GGGAGAGACCAACAGGGAUUGCCCUAGUAACGGCGAGUGAAGCGGCAACAGCUCAAAUUUGAAAUCUGGCCCCCCCACGGGGGUCCGAGUUGUAAUUUGCAGAGGGUGCUUUGGCGUUGGCUGUGGUCUAAGUUCCUUGGAACAGGACGUCGCAGAGGGUGAGAAUCCCGUAUGUGGCCGCCAGUCUUCGCCGUGUAAAGCCCCUUCGACGAGUCGAGUUGUUUGGGAAUGCAGCUCUAAAUGGGAGGUAAAUUUCUUCUAAAGCUAAAUAUCUGCCAGAGACCGAUAGCGCACAAGUAGAGUGAUCGAAAGAUGAAAAGCACUUUGGAAAGAGAGUCAAAAAGCACGUGAAAUUGUUGAAAGGGAAGCGCUUGCAGUUAGACGUGCCUCUAGUUGCUCAGCCGGGCCUUCGGGCCCGGUGCACUCUUCUAUUGGCAGGCCAGCAUCAGUCUGGGCGGUCGGAUAAAGGCCCAUUAAACGUGACUCCCUCCGGGGAGAGCUUAUAGGGUGGGCGACAUGCGACCAGCCCGGACUGAGGUCCGCGCAUCUGCUAGGAUGCUGGCUUAAUAACUGUAAGCGGCCCGUCUUGAAACACGGACCAAGGAGUCUAACAUCUAUGCGAGUGUUUGGGGGUGGAAA